Molecule: ribosomal RNA, 465 nt
Filed under: uncultured bacterium
Lineage: Bacteria
Description: bacterial SSU rRNA
Rfam family: Bacterial small subunit ribosomal RNA
Source: RNAcentral
GAACGCUGGCGGUGUGCCUCAUACAUGCAAGUCGAACGAUAAGGUUCCUCGGGAAUACAUAAGUGGCGGACGGGUGAGUACAACAUAGGAAAUCUGCCUUAAGCUGGGGGACAACAGAGGGAAACUCUUGCUAAUACCCCAUAUGAGCUUAGUUGAAAUACUAAUCUUGAAAGCUCCGGCGGCUUAAGAUGAGCCUGUGCCUGAUUAGCUAGUUGGUGGUGUAAUGGACUACCAAGGCGACGAUCAGUAGCUGGUUUGAGAGGAUGAUCAGCCACAAUGGGACUGAGACACGGCCCAUACUCCUACGGGAGGCAGCAGUAGGGAAUUUUGCGCAAUGGGGGAAACCCUGACGCAGCAACACCGCGUGAAUGUUAAGCCCUUCGGGGUGUAAAGUUCUGUCAGUAGGGAAGAACAAAUGACUGUACCUACAAAGGAAGCACCGGCUAACUCCGUGCCAGCCGCCGC